This 45-nucleotide non-coding RNA is filed under the name Schistosoma margrebowiei. Lineage: Eukaryota; Metazoa; Platyhelminthes; Trematoda; Strigeidida; Schistosomatidae. The record is from RNAcentral.
ACUCAGCUGAUGAGUCCCAAAUGGGAUAAAACGCACGUUCUGGAU